CCGUGGCAGGGGCUGUUUUCGUUGCACAGCUCAUGGGCUCUAGGCACUUGGGCUUCAGUAGUUGUGGUGCUUGGGCUUAGUUGCCCCACAGCUUGUGGAAUCUUCCUGGACUAGGGAUCGAACCCACAUCCCCUGCAUUGGCAGGCGGAUUCUUAACCACUGGACCACCAGGGAGGUCCUUCAGAUCGUCUUGUGCGUGGAAGCAGCCUCCUUCCUUACAGCCUACCUGGUCAUUAACACAGAAUAAAUGGAAUCGUUCUGGCCGCUGCUCCUGAGGUCAGAAAAGGACUGAGAAAGAAGCCGUCUCCAAUCAGACACUCAGGCUGGUCCCCGGGUGGGGAGGGGUGUGGGCAGGGUGUGCCUUCAGCUGGUGGGAGGGGCCAGGAGCGAUGCAGAUGUGGAGAGGAAGGAAGCCCGCGCCGCCAGCCUCCCUCGUCUCCUCCCAGGAUGGACCCCACAGCUUACGCUGAGCUGCUGAAAGAAUCUGGCAACCAGGGUUUUAAGAGUGGGAACUUCUCUUUGGCCAUCAGAAAGUACGAUGAAGCCAUCCAGAUCCUCCUGCAGUUAUACCAGUGUGGUGUCAGUCUCGGCGCAGCUAGAGGAAUUCAGGAAACAGAAAGUGAAAGACGGGACUGUUGAUACGCCUUGCGAAACUUCCCCUUUUGUCUGGUUCCAGCAGAGUUCCUGGAAUGACCGACUCUGUCUCCAAGCCUCUGCACUUGUCGUUCAUUUCAUCUUGUUUAUCUGUGCUAUCACCUCCCUGGCCUGGCCACAGGGCAAGCGACCAGGAACUAAGGCUCACCUCGUCCCCUGCCCCUUCAGCUUCUAGCAGACCUGUUCCCAAACAUUUCAGGAUCACGGCCCAAUUACAAAUUGUGGAGGACCCCAGAAAGCUUUUGCUGGUGUAGUUAUCGAUAAAGCCUGUAUUAGAACUCAAAACUGAGAAACAUUUAAAAUAUGUAUUUAUUCGUUAUUUUAAAAUAUCAGUAAUAAAC
Molecule: long non-coding RNA, 995 nt
Filed under: Moschus moschiferus (Siberian musk deer)
Lineage: Eukaryota; Metazoa; Chordata; Mammalia; Artiodactyla; Moschidae
Description: lncRNA (ENSMMSG00000024005.1)
Source: RNAcentral